CCUACGGGGGGCUGCAGUGGGGAAUAUUGGACAUUGGGCGAAAGCCUGAUCCAGCCAUGCCGCGUGUGUGAAGAAGGCCUUCGGGUUGUAAAGCACUUUCAGUGGGGAAGAAAGCCUUGGGGCUAAUACCCUCGAGGAAGGACAUCACCCACAGAAGAAGCACCGGCUAACUCCGUGCCAGCAGCCGCGGUAAUACGGAGGGUGCGAGCGUUAAUCGGAAUUACUGGGCGUAAAGCGCGCGUAGGCGGUCUGAUAAGCCGGUUGUGAAAGCCCCGGGCUCAACCUGGGAACGGCAUCCGGAACUGUCAGGCUAGAGUGCAGGAGAGGAAGGUAGAAUUCCCGGUGUAGCGGUGAAAUGCGUAGAGAUCGGGAGGAAUACCAGUGGCGAAGGCGGCCUUCUGGACUGACACUGACGCUGAGGUGCGAAAGCGUGGGUAGCAAACAGGAUUAGAUACCCUGGUAGUC
This 465-nucleotide ribosomal RNA is filed under the name Vreelandella stevensii. RNAcentral describes it as "partial 16S ribosomal RNA". It matches the Rfam family "Bacterial small subunit ribosomal RNA", at positions 338 to 795 of the family's 1533-position model. Lineage: Bacteria; Pseudomonadati; Pseudomonadota; Gammaproteobacteria; Oceanospirillales; Halomonadaceae. The record is from RNAcentral.